CUAGUAGGCAGGUGCACCUCGUUUUGGUGACUGAGCUGUGCAAUCUGGUUGUUUGGGAGACAUGGACGAGUGUGUAUUCCUGUUCAGAUCCAGGCGUGAGCAGACAGGAGGUCUACCGAACAUGUUUGCAGACAUGUAGUGAGGCCACCACGUAUCUGGUAAAGCAGGCCCAAGUCAACAAAAAGCUUGAACACCAAAACUGUUUUUUGAAGAAGGAACUUGAAAAAAUGACAAUCAAACAACAACAGCAACAAGACAGACAGCUGUCACAGCAAUGGUCUCCAGAUGUUAUCACAGAUGAGGACCUUUUUGGCAAUGCCAUUAGACGACCUAGCUGCUGACGGAUGACACAGAUGUGUUCUUAUUUAUAUAUCGCCC
Molecule: long non-coding RNA, 378 nt
Organism: Anoplopoma fimbria (sablefish)
Lineage: Eukaryota; Metazoa; Chordata; Actinopteri; Perciformes; Anoplopomatidae
Exons: 3
Source: RefSeq, a predicted model, not a curated record